GGGUCGUUAGCUCAGUCGGUAGAGCAGUUGACUCUUAAUCAAUUGGUCGUAGGUUCGAAUCCUACACGACCCACCA
RNAcentral lists this transfer RNA (76 nucleotides) under Aeromonas caviae. RNAcentral describes it as "tRNA-Lys". It matches the Rfam family "tRNA". Rfam says of the family: Transfer RNA (tRNA) molecules are approximately 80 nucleotides in length. The record is from RNAcentral. Lineage: Bacteria; Pseudomonadati; Pseudomonadota; Gammaproteobacteria; Aeromonadales; Aeromonadaceae.